RNAcentral lists this ribosomal RNA (194 nucleotides) under uncultured Flavobacteriales bacterium. RNAcentral describes it as "partial 16S ribosomal RNA". It matches the Rfam family "Bacterial small subunit ribosomal RNA", at positions 140 to 334 of the family's 1533-position model. The record is from RNAcentral. Lineage: Bacteria; Pseudomonadati; Bacteroidota; Flavobacteriia; Flavobacteriales.
GGGAUAGCCCGGGGAAACCCGGAUUAAUACCCCAUAGUACUUAUAUUCAGCAUUGGAUUUAGGUUAAACAUUUAUGGCUAUAAGAUGAGUAUGCGUCCUAUUAGUUAGUUGGUAAGGUAACGGCUUACCAAGACCGCGAUAGGUAGGGGUCCUGAGAGGGAGAUCCCCCACACUGGUACUGAGACACGGACCAG